Molecule: RNA transcript, 3161 nt
Organism: Syngnathus acus (greater pipefish)
Lineage: Eukaryota; Metazoa; Chordata; Actinopteri; Syngnathiformes; Syngnathidae
Gene: khdrbs2
Gene name: KH domain containing, RNA binding, signal transduction associated 2
Exons: 12
Source: RefSeq, a predicted model, not a curated record
UCCAGUGUGCACCCAGUGAGCGUAAGCUUGUGGUGUGGAGCUGGAGAGGAGAGGCAAGAGUGGAAGAGAUGGGCUCACUUCUAUGAAUCACAACCUGCAGGCAAGCAUCCCGGACACCUUGGAGGACAAAAUAAUUUGAGGGUUUUUUUUCCCUUUUUUUUUAAAGGGAGGAAUCUGCUCAUGUUUGAGUCUGCAGCUGCCAACACCAGCAACGAGGAGCGAGAUCGUGCGACCUGCUGUGUGCAAAUCUGCACUGAUAGAAUGCAUCAGAAUAAUUACGUACCUGAACUAGUAGCUGAAAAAAACACUUUGGAACCUCAGUUUGGGCAUGCUCUGCGCCUGCUUGCAGAAGAAAUUGAAAAGCACGAAGGUGAUGAACUGCAAAAAGAUGGUAUCAUGAAGAAAUACCUUGAUAUUAUCAGCAAUAAAAACAUAAAGCUGUCGGAAAGAGUUCUCAUCCCAGUGCAACAGUAUCCAAAGUUUAAUUUUGUCGGAAAGCUACUGGGGCCUCGGGGAAAUUCCAUGAAAAGGCUACAAGAAGAAACAGGAGUCAAGAUGUCCAUCCUCGGAAAAGGGUCCAUGAGGGAUAAAGCAAAGGAAGAAGAAUUAAGGAACAGUGGCGAGGCCAAAUACGCACAUCUGAGUCACGAUCUUCAUGUUUUAAUUGAAGUCUUUGCUCCACCGGGUGAAGCCUAUUCCCGCAUGAGCCACGCUUUGGAGGAGAUUAAAAAAUUCCUUGUUCCAGACUACAAUGACGAGAUCAGACAGGAGCAACUACGAGAGCUUUCACUAUUAAACGGUUCUGAUGAGUCCAACAGAGGCAGGAAUGCACAAGGAAGGAGCAUUAGGACAACCACCACAGUAUCCACCAGGGCCCGCAGGAACACAGGAAGGAGCACAGUAACACCUCGGGGGACGGCUGCCGCGACACACAGCAAGCCCACUGCAUCUGUUUUAACGAGGGAAGCUCAAACUCCGAGAGCCAGGGGAGCGGCAGUAACAGCAAUUGGAGGGUACCGACCUCCACUGUUAGCCGGCACACAUGACUCAUACGACGACUAUGGUUACGAUGAUGGAUAUGGCGGAGAAUAUGAUGAUGACAGCUACGAUGCCUAUGACGAAAACUACAGCAAUCACUCAAAGAGCAUCUCCGAAUAUUAUGAAUAUGGGCAAGGAACAAAUGAUGACUCCUACAACAACUAUGAAGAGGAGUGGCCCACUUCCCGUCCCAGUCUCAAAGCUCCACUUCUACAGCUGACAAGAGGUGGAUACAGAAAACAUCCCUAUAGUCGAUACUGAAGGUAUAAAAGCACUGCAGUUGUCAAGACGUACGGGUCAUAAAACAGGACAAUGUAGAUUGCAGAAGCUGCUGCAAGACGAUGGGUUCAGCGCUCAUAUUUGGAAAAGAGAGCAGUGUGAAAUACUUGAGUCUAAGGUGCCUAAAGACUUCUCGGCUGUCAUCACAUUUCUUUAUCCUUCAGUCCACACAAAGAGCCACUUUGUGGGUUUUUUUCCAUUACACAGUCCUCAACGUAGAAUGCAGCUUGGAAGAAGUGGACGGCGCUUUUCUGUUGACACAAACAUUUUUUGGUUUGCAUAUAUUUGAGAUGGCAAUGACUGAGUUUGACUGACAGUGACUUGUCAAGCGUGAGUGAAGUAUUCAAAUUGUGGUCAGUGGACUAUUGGUGGUUCCUGGGGAACUGUACAAGGUCCACAAGGAACAUGAAUUUGAAUUGUGUGAUACCUUCAACUUUCAAAUAAUAUACAGUAACUCUUUAACAUUUUAGUAUCGUUAAUUAACAUCUUAGUGAAAAUAAGGAAGCGACUGCUGUUACAAGCUUAACUGACAGUACAAUAUAUGUUGAAUUAUUGGUUGGUGACUUUUUUGUUAUAUCUAUCAUUGACCCUUGUUUUCCCUUGGCUAAUCGUCGCCGAUACCUUUGUGAAUUGGUGUUUACACAAAAAAAGUCACAGAGAAAGCAACAAAUGUUAAUAUUUUCGAUUUUUUUAAAAACAUUUUCAGGAGGGUUGUCUUCAGAAUAAUAACCCUGAAAAUUCUAUUCCAAUCCAACCCAAUUUUCAGACUGCAUUCCACUAUAGACAUGAAGAAGAAUAUUAAUUAUUUUCAGUGAAUAAUGAAUCAAACUUACUAGACAGAAUUCAGGAACCAAAGACAACAUUUAAUUUGGUAACACAAUGUGCAAUUAUUUGUUAGCUCAAUAUUGCAUACCAACAAUUCCAAAUGAGCCAGAACUUGAAUUUAGUUUUGGUUUUCAUGUCAACGCUUCAAAUGAUUAUAUUCAGCCACAAACAGGCAAUGUAAGGGCAACGUUUUAACAUUUAAUAUUAAUUUAGCCACUUUUUUUUUUUAGCUACUUUGUCAUUCAUCUAUGAGAAGGAUCUCCAUGUUUAAUUAAAAUACCACGUCUGUGUCUUUUAGUCACGUAAUAUCCUGCUCAGUCGUUGGAUGGUUUGUAUUGUAGCGCUGGCUCGACAGUGACACAGAAGUAGAAUGUCUGAAAUAUUAAUGUGGACAAGGUUACAAAAUAUCCGUUUGCAACAUUAUGCAGCAGCACGAUGAUACCACCUGCUUAUAUUCUUAAAUUGGCUGAGAAAGCAGGGGAGGUUUUCACACGCAACAUGCUGUUACUUGGUUACUUGCGAAUAAUGUAUGCAACCGGCGCGUUUUAACAAUAAAUGAUGGCGAUAAUGUGGCAUUUCCUCAAAUAAACAGGUAUUUUAUCCUAAUAAGAGACACAAUGAUUGUUGCAAUAUAGCAAGAUGAGAUAGCGAGCGAGGGAGGUCAUUUUCUUUCUAACCGGAUCUGAAGGACAAGUUGAUUGUCUCUGGCUCUCUCGGCCGCCUCUCAAUCAAGAGCAUCACGGAAGAUGUCAAAUGUGUGUUGACACAUUGUAACUGCAGGAUCCAUAAAGGCAUGCAGUGGUUUGAGGGGAAUCAGCAACUGGGACUUAAUUUCAGAAUAUUGCAGCUCAGAGGCUUGCUGUGUGUACCUAUCGUGCACAAACACCACAAGAAAGGUCACACUUUUUUUAAUCACUUAAUGCGCGCAAGAACUUCCUUUUUUUAAUUUUUUUUUACAAAGACAGACAAACAGAAAUGCACUCGUAUGUCAUAUUUAAAAAAAAUAUAUAAACUUUGGU